CUGUUUAUUAUGCAAGCAAAGCACCAUACCCGCUAGCUUAGCUAAUAUAUAAUAUAUUAUUUUUAUGAUAAAAGAUGCCAUCAUGCCAUGUUUUACUGAUGGCUUUAGCUUUGCAUGAAAUGAUGCAUUUAUUGGUCAAAAUUGGGAUGACGACCUUUUACAACUUCCAAACUAAAUCAUGCAUUUUCUUGUUUCUAUUUUGCAAUCGAAUUUGAAUUACCCUCUCCGUAGUUUAAAAAAAUAUUAGAGGCCAAUUUUAAGUCCUUAGAAUAGUAUGGAAAAGAUAUGGAAGAUGCUGAUUUUCUGACACAAGUUUCUCAAUUUAGUAUUCUUGAGCUAACAACAACUAUGCCACUGCCAAACAGUAUGUGUGCUUGUUUUUUCUUUUAACAGGGUGCUGAUGCUGAAUCAAUCAAAAUAUGAGGAGGAGGAGGAGGAGGAGGAGACACCUAUUUCUCUACAGAAAGGAAUAGAAAAGGCUAAAAAAACUCCACUUUGGGGGAGAUACUAGAUAGAUCAAUUUCCACAGUGCUUUCUUUUUUACGAAAGUGGUGCACCAUGCCACCAUCCAUAGAUAGUC
Molecule: long non-coding RNA, 580 nt
Filed under: Prunus dulcis (almond)
Lineage: Eukaryota; Viridiplantae; Streptophyta; Magnoliopsida; Rosales; Rosaceae
Description: sRNA ncRNA
Source: RNAcentral